RNAcentral lists this ribosomal RNA (492 nucleotides) under uncultured bacterium. Its description in RNAcentral is "partial 16S ribosomal RNA". It matches the Rfam family "Bacterial small subunit ribosomal RNA", at positions 29 to 507 of the family's 1533-position model. The record is from RNAcentral.
AGUGAACGCUGGCGGUAGGCCUAACACAUGCAAGUCGAACGGCAGCACAGUAAGAGCUUGCUCUUACUGGUGGCGAGUGGCGGACGGGUGAGGAAUACAUCGGAAUCUACUUUUUCGUGGGGGAUAACGUAGGGAAACUUACGCUAAUACCGCAUACGACCUACGGGUGAAAGCAUGGGAUCUUCGGACCUUGCGCGAUUGAAUGAGCCGAUGUCGGAUUAGCUAGUUGGCGGGGUAAAGGCCCACCAAGGCGACGAUCCGUAGCUGGUCUGAGAGGAUGAUCAGCCACACUGGAACUGAGACACGGUCCAGACUCCUAAGGGAGGCAGCAGUGGGGAAUAUUGGACAAUGGGAGCAAGCCUGAUCCAGCCAUACCGCGUGGGUGAAGAAGGCCUUCGGGUUGUAAAGCCCUUUUGUUGGGAAAGAAAAGCAGCAGGUUAAUACCCCGCUGUUCUGACGGUACCCAAAGAAUAAGCACCGGCUAACUUCGUG